GACGAACGCUGGCGGCGUGCCUAAUACAUGCAAGUCGAACGAAGCUGUUUUAACUGGUGCUUGCACCGACUUAAACAACUGAGUGGCGAACGGGUGAGUAACACGUGGGUAACCUGCCCCAAAGCGGGGGAUAACAUUUGGAAACAGAUGCUAAUACCGCAUAAUCACAGAAACCACAUGGUUUCUGUGUAAAAGAUGGUUUCGGCUAUCACUUUGGGAUGGACCCGCGGCGUAUUAGCUAGUUGGUAAGGUAAUGGCUUACCAAGGCAAUGAUACGUAGCCGAACUGAGAGGUUGAUCGGCCACAUUGGGACUGAGACACGGCCCAAACUCCUACGGGAGGCAGCAGUAGGGAAUCUUCCACAAUGGACGAAAGUCUGAUGGAGCAACGCCGCGUGAGUGAAGAAGGUUUUCGGAUCGUAAAACUCUGUUGUCAGAGAAGAACGUGUGCGAGAGUAACUGUUCGUGCAGUGACGGUAUCUGGCCAGAAAGCCACGGCUAACUACGUGCCAGCAGCCGCUGUAA
This 524-nucleotide ribosomal RNA is filed under the name uncultured bacterium. RNAcentral describes it as "partial 16S ribosomal RNA". It matches the Rfam family "Bacterial small subunit ribosomal RNA", at positions 28 to 523 of the family's 1533-position model. The record is from RNAcentral.